This 426-nucleotide ribosomal RNA is filed under the name Triticum aestivum (bread wheat). Its description in RNAcentral is "partial small subunit ribosomal RNA". Lineage: Eukaryota; Viridiplantae; Streptophyta; Magnoliopsida; Poales; Poaceae. The record is from RNAcentral.
AUGGAUUGGAACCCCCAGGUGCUUUUUUGGAACGUGAGGGGGCUUAACAACAUGUCUAAAAGGAAUGCGGUGAGGGAUUUCGUUCAUGAUGCUAGAGUCAAUUUGGUGUGUCUUCAAGAGACAAAACUUGAUGCAAUAGACACCUAUGUGGUAAUGCAAUGUAUAGGGCCAUCUUUUGAUGGUUUUGCUUAUCUGCCGGCUUCAGAGACUAGGGGCGGAAUUCUUGUGGGAUGGGAUAGAUCUAUCUUGGAGAUUAACAACAUUACUAUGGAUAGUUACUCCCUCACGGGUCAUGUGCAAAAUAAAGAUGGAUGGGAAUGGUGGCUCACGGUGGUUUACAGACCACAAGGUGAUGAGAUCAAGACGCACUUCCUGAUGGAGCUUCAGAUGAGGGGGGUUUGUGCCCGGGCCCUUGGAUGGUGUUAG